Molecule: long non-coding RNA, 547 nt
Filed under: Heterocephalus glaber (naked mole-rat)
Lineage: Eukaryota; Metazoa; Chordata; Mammalia; Rodentia; Bathyergidae
Description: lncRNA (ENSHGLG00000043764.1)
Source: RNAcentral
CCAUAAGUAGCGUGUGUGCUCUCCGUCCUCUGUCCUUGCCACUCCUGCCUCACUCCCAGCCCUGCAUGACUCACCACUCGCAUCUUUCCAAGACUCCACUGCUGCGGAGGGAUAAUUCCUUACUGGAUCGGAAGAGGAUGUGAGCAAUUAGCUGAGGACCUGGGCUCAGCGUCCAUCCGGGGCUCCGUGGAGGAUUCUGUGUUCUGUAGAGCGGGAUAAUCUGCUUAGAGAUAAUUUAGGAAAACCAAUGGGGAUAAUCUACGGGCCUGAUGUCAUUGCUGCAGGAUGUCCAUCAAAUCCGGAAGUCCUGGUGAGGAUGUCUUCAAUGUGUCAAAAAAUUUGUUUCCUGUAUUUUCUAGUUUUAUGCGGCCCUUUGUUUGCAGCUGGACAAGACAGCAUAGCACGUCACAAAGAGGGACAGAUGACAUGAAGUCCAUAGGACGUGGCCAAGACAGGGAAGCUGCAGAUGGAACAGAUGAAGGAAACAGUUCUGGAGUUUCAGGGUGGCAGCUUUGACCAGAAUCGAGCUUCAGCUGGUAGCUGGGAG